Physcomitrium patens is the source of this 2444-nucleotide RNA transcript. RefSeq lists it as uncharacterized. The record is from RefSeq and is a predicted model, not a curated record. Lineage: Eukaryota; Viridiplantae; Streptophyta; Bryopsida; Funariales; Funariaceae.
CAGAUUGCUUGGCCGGGAGUACUGAGCUCAUUGCAUGGGGGAUCAUUGUCUGGAUUGGCAUUGACGCCUAUUUCCUGCGGUUUCGUGUAGAUUUUCAAUUUUUGAAAUUGUGUGGUGGAAAAGCCGUAGUGACCUGCUGCGGUUGCGAAUUGUGGGAGCGUGUGCAGAGAGAGCAUUUAGGUUUGCGUCGUGGUGAGUCGUGUGAUUUUCGAGACGUCUGCCAGUGUUAGGUUUUCGAGGUGUGAGCUCGAGGGUGUUUGAUCGUCAUGGCGGAGGGCAUUGCUUUGCUCUCUGCGUACUCUGACUCAGAUGUCGAUGAUGAUAGUCCAGUCCAAGCCUCCUCGGAUGCGCGCGGGAGUAUUGUGGAUUACGCUCAGGACGAAGGGCAUGGUGAUGAACGUGAUGAUGAGCUUAAGGGAAACGAACCCUUGGCGGAGAGUAACUUGGUUGAGGUUUCUGGCUCAGGGGUUUUGCAAGUAGAAGGAAUUGUUCCCAUGGAUGCAGACACACAGGAGGAUAUGCAAACAGGUGAUGGAGAUGUACAAAAUUUAGGUGAAAACGGCAACGACGAGGUUCCUGUUCCCAGCGCAGAGGAGGAAAUAUUUUCUGGUUUUUGGCCAUCACCCCCAUCCACACCAUGCCCAGAGGAAUUACAGGCUAAAUUUUCGAAGUUUCUGAAACUUAAAGAACAGGGAAGGAACUUCAAUGAAGAUCUGCGAAAGUCGAAGGGUUAUCGAAAUCCAGACUUCCUGCAGCUUGCUGUUCUACAUCAAAAUAUAAACGAGAUUGGCAGCUGUUUUGAUCCAGAAAUCUUCGACCCGCACGGAUACGACAAAAGUGACUUUGCAGAUGCAUUGGCAGCUGAGCAAAGGAGGGAGGCAGAUCGCAGGGAGCAGGAGAGGAGGCAGAACCAACGCACCAGUGUUGACUUUGUGCGCGCAACACAGCUUCUUACCUCUCAAAAAGUGUCACUAGCAGCAGCAGCAGCAGCUACGAAUGCUCAGCUCGUACAGGGAGCCCAUACCAUUAUCAGUACGACCUCCUCAACAGUUCAUACUACAACGACAACAAGUGAAGUAAGGAGUGAAACCCGUGUCAAUAAGAAAAGCAAAUGGGACAAAGCGGGUCAUCACUAAUAGCAUCUGUCAGCUGUUUUUUUUAAAGUUACAAUUGCUGGAGGGCACAUUGGCACCAAUGUUAACUUGUUAUGGACUGUUUGGCGGACUGUGUCUAUAAAAGUGAGAGCAUAGAUGCGGGUGAACUUUGAAACAUUAAAUCUUGUGCGCCUCACAUGCACAUAUCGACAAUUUCUUAUGGUAUACCUUUUGGCGCUGUCUUAGAGUGACGCUGUUUGCUUAGUUUAGAUUCUUUCGAGUUUGCUUCUGUUCAGGUUUUGUUUUUUUUUGUUUUUUUUGUUUGUUUUUUUUUUUUAAUCCUUGCUCAUGUUCAUGAAACCACUUGUAAUAAUAUCCAAUCGUUCAUCCUGUCGAGACUAUCUUGUAGGCUUAGACAGGUGUUACCCAUGAUCUACCUCAUGUGUUACCGAUUGCAGAUCACCUUCAACAUUAUGAAAGUGUUCAGCAUUGACUCAGACAGUCCGACAUUCUCAUAAGCUUUCAUUAUUUCCAGAGGCAAGCAAUGAACUUCGCAGGUUAAGUGCCUUUGUUCCAAGUUUAUGAAUUUAUUCUUCGCUACUUGUAAAGGCUUGGCACAUGCAAUCUGUAAUUUCUAAGAUGCAAGUUUGACAUAAUUGUAUUUUAAGAUGCAAUUCCUGACUUGGAAAGGCCUCUUAAUUAAAUCUUCCAGAAAUUGCCCACUCAGUCGUACAUUGUGCUCAUUGCUAGUUGACGCAUUUGUUUAUCCUCUUAUCAGUUGUGUGAGGGUGACUGCUAUCGACAAAAACCACUGACUAGAAUUUGCAUGAAAUCAUAUCAGUUUCAGGUAUGGAAUUGCAUGAAAGCUUUUGCAGCUCUGAGGAGAUAAAGUGGACCAAAUCUGGAUUCUUGGACUUGGAAUCAUUUUGAUAGGACGUGCGACUUUCAAGGAUUUUCACUUACGCUCUUAGUAAGCGACUCUGAAAAGGUUGAGGAAUAAUGAUUGUACUGUUGUAUCCUAUUUAGUAUUGUGGACAAUACGCAGAAGUACACACCAUGCCUCUAGAUUUUCCUCUAGAUGCCGGCGAGUGGGAGGAAAUCAAUCUCCCAAUCGAGAACUCUGUCAACAUUCCACCGGGAUUAGGAAUACAGUAGCGCUUCAUUAACAUAAGUACGAGAAUCCACAUUACCUUACCCAUGAAAGUGUUAGUUACAGUUAUAUUUAACACGAUCUUCCCUUCACGUAUUCGUACCUUUUAGGCCAGUCCUUACUUUCGUCCUCGUACAUAUCACGUUCAUAACUCAUUACGUAGAAAAUUGCAUUCAAUAUAUUCUUAACCCCUGUUUCAA